This 440-nucleotide ribosomal RNA is filed under the name uncultured bacterium. Its description in RNAcentral is "partial 16S ribosomal RNA". It matches the Rfam family "Bacterial small subunit ribosomal RNA", at positions 338 to 795 of the family's 1533-position model. The record is from RNAcentral.
CCUACGGGAGGCAGCAGUGGGGAAUAUUGCACAAUGGAGGGAACUCUGAUGCAGCGACGCCGCGUGAGUGAAGAAGUAAUUCGUUAUGUAAAGCUCUAUCAGCAGGGAAGAAAGUGACGGUACCUGAAAAAGAAGCUCCGGCUAAAUACGUGCCAGCAGCCGCGGUAAUACGUAUGGAGCAAGCGUUAUCCGGAUUUACUGGGUGUAAAGGGGGAGUAGGUGGCAGAGCAAGUCCGAAGUGAAAACCCAAAGCGUAACUAUGGGAAUGCUUUAGAAACUGGUCAGCUAGAGUGCAGGAGAGGCAAGUGGAAUUCUUAGUGUAGCGGUGAAAUGCGUAGAUAGUAGGAGGAACACCAGUGGCGAAGGCGGCUUGCUGGACUGUAACUGACACUGAGGCUCGAAAGCGUGGGGAGCAAACAGGAUUAGAUACCCGGGUAGUC